CAUAAAAAAAGGCACUCCGAACCUUCAAGGCUCCCUCAGCCGAACCAGACCACGGACAUCGAGCAAACAUCCAGUCACCAAAUUUUUCUUCUUCGUAAUAUAUUAACAAAACAGGAGAUGCUUAUGGACCAAAUGCGAAUUAUCAUGAAGACCCUCCAGUGUAUGCAAUCAAGUCAGGAGACAGAGAUAGGCCUAGAUCGAAAUUUGUUGCCUCUCAAAGAUCUCACUUCUCUACAGAGCAUGGAGGGGAACCUGCGGAGUACUCCUGACCUCCAUAAGCAAUUGGUAAACACACUGGCUCUUAAAGGUGGGGCGGACGUGAAGGAGUCUGUUUGGAGAAUCAUGCAUGGUCUGUUUACCAACUCCUUGGCGAGGAAAGUUAACAUGAGAGGAUUGAAUGGAAAGAUUAGCUUCCUACGCCUACAGAUACGAGAUGUUGUGAUUGGUAAGUUGCCUUUUAUUCCCAAUAUGUAAGGAGUGAAACUAUUUCCUUAUGAAAUCAAUUCCUUGUGAAUCCAAAACUCAGGAACUCUUGCAACACGCAUGACAUCCAACAAAACAAUAAACUUUCUAAUCUGACGGGAAGAUUUGGGAGAAAGACCAUUUUCUCAUCUGUCCCUUCACCCAUCC
Molecule: long non-coding RNA, 630 nt
Organism: Carassius carassius (crucian carp)
Lineage: Eukaryota; Metazoa; Chordata; Actinopteri; Cypriniformes; Cyprinidae
Exons: 3
Source: RefSeq, a predicted model, not a curated record